UCAGUUUUUUAAAAUUCCAUGAAUGAAAAACCAUGAAUAUUUUAGAAAACAUUCAGGUUAUAGAAGUGGCCACAUUUGUUGAUUUCUUAAAUAAAGCUGAAGUUCUCUGUCCGUUGCUAUAUGGUAAGCCCUAGGGCUCAAUUCAGAUAAGUGUACUGUGUUUCACUGCCAAAAAAAACAUCCGUUUUCUUCUACAGUCACCAUAAACCAACAACCCUAGAAAAACCUGCUUUGUUGUCCUGAAGGAGCUGUUAUUGUUCAGAAUAUUUUACAUGUGAAUUUCUGCUCCAGCUGGCUGGGGACCAUCAUGACAAGGGAAUGUGAUCAAGAAGACAAACACAUAGAUAUCAUGAAGAAAAGAAAACGGAAGAUACCAAUAUACUUUAUUCUGAGCCAAGGCAAAGUCCAUCUGACAACAGCAGAUUGGACAAUAACUGAAAAUGUAGUCUGUAAGGAAGCUUAAUAAUAAGAUAUACAUCUCUUUAUAUUUCACUAAAUGGCUAAAGAAUGCGGAAAACUUAUGUUUAUACAAAAACCAGCAGACUGACAUUUAUAGCAGCUUUAUCCAUAACUGUCAACAUUUGGAAGCAACCAAGAUGUCCUUUAGCAGGUGAAUUGAUAAAUAAAACUGUGGCACAUCCAGACAAGGGAAUAUUAUUCAGCACUAAAAAUAAAGGAGCUAUCAAGCCAGGAAAAAACAAGGAGGAAACUCACAUGCAUAUUGCUAAGUAAAAGAAGCCAGCCUGGAAAAGCUGCAUACUGUAUGAUUCCAACUCUGUGACAUUCUGGAAAAGUAAAACCCUGGAGGCAGUAAAGAGAUCAGUGGUUGCCAGAAGUUAGGAGGAAAGGAGGGAUGAAUAGGCAGGGCACAGAGGAUUUUUAGGGCAGUGAAACUACUCUGUGUGGUCCUGUAAUGGUGGUUUAAUGUCAUUAUGCAUUUGGCCACACCCAUAGAAUGUACACCACCAAGAGUGAACUCUAAUGUAAACUGUGGACUUUGGGUGAUAAUGAUGUGUCAGUGUGGGUUCAAUUGUAACAAAUGUGCCACUCUGGUGGGGGAUGGUGAUAAUGCGGAGCUGUGCACGUGGGGUGGGCAGGGGCAUGCGGGAAAUCUCUGUCCCUUCCUCUCAAUUUUGCAGUAAACUUUAAAGCUCUUAAAAAGUAAGUAUUUUUUAAACAAGAAAGAAACAAGGUGAACUAAAUGUACAGCUAGAUCUAACAUAAGGAAAUAAGAAUUGCUAUUAAUUUACAUAUAUUAACUAAUUAAUUGUGAACCUUUUUAAAAUACCAUUGUGAACUGUAAUGUAUUUUAUAUUCAAAUGAAUCCUCAGCCUUCUUCAUUGUAAAUAUUAGCUGAACAAAUGAGUAAAUAAAAAUCGACUUCAUAGAAAAUCAAGUGAGUCCGGUCAUAGCCAGAUAACAGUGUUUAACCCACAAAAGAUAUGCAAUUGUUCUUUAAAACAGUAAGAGGAUUAAUACAAAAUUAUUAAAGUUUAUAUUAAAGACAUAAAUGUAAUCUUUACAAAUAAUUUUCUUAUGGAUAAAUUAUGCUUACUGUAGUUAUUAGCCGGAACUUGCAAUAAUCUCCAUAUUAAGACAACCAAGACAACAAUUAGUUUGUUUUAAGGCACCUGCCAACUUAUAUACUAGAAAAUAAAAGUUUUCCAAGUGAAAAAACAGCUUUGCUCAGAAUUUAAAACACUCUACUGGAUAGCCUGCUUAACAGCACUAGGAAAACAAAAAUUCUAUGCAUCAAAAGAUGAAUGAAAAGAGAAACAAUAAACCAGGAUGAAGAUACAUACAAACCCAAUGGCUUCAUAUCUAGAAUACAUAAAGAACUCCCACAAAUCAAUAAGAAAAAGAGAAGCAGCCCAAUAGAAAAAUGGCAAAGUAUGUGAACACAGAAUCUAUGAAAGAGAAAAUUCAAAUACUCCAAAACAUUUUUAAAUAUGUUCAACCUCUGGCUGGGCACAGUGGCUCACGCCUAUAAUCCCAGCAAUUUGGGAGGCUAAGGCAAGUGGCUCUCUUGAGGCCAGCCUGGACAACAUGGCAAAACCCUGUCUCUGCUAAAAACACAAAAAUUAGCUGGGUGUGGUGGCACAUGCCUGUAAUCCCAGCUACUCAGGAGGCUGAGGCACAAGAAUCACUUAAGCAUGGGAGACCAAGGUUGCAGUGAGCUGAGAUCACACCACUGCACUCCAGCCUGGGCAACAGAGCAAGGCUUUGUCUCAAAAAAAAAAGUUUAACCUCAAAAUACUUACAGAGAUGCAAAUAAAACCAUUAGAUUUCAUACUUAUCAAAUUCAUUAAAGUUUUCCAAUUCUGGCAACACAUUAUUUUGGCAAGUAUAUGAAGUAACACAGCUGAUGGAACUAUAAACUUGUACAAUCGAUUUGGAGAAAAUUUGGGAAUAUAUAUAUAUAUAUAUAUAUCAGAUUUGAAACUACUCACAGCCUAUGACUCAGCAAUUCCAAACCUGAAGAAACUCCUGUCCACAUGCCCAAGAAGAUCUCUUUAAGAAUGUUCACAGCAUUAUUUAUUUCUAAAUAAUACAAAACUGAAAAUGUUACACAUGCUCCUUCAAGAAUAAAAUGUGUAAGCAAACUGUGAUGUAUUCAUAAAUAAAAAUAGUUAAAACAUGCAAACCAGAUAUCUGUAUCUAUCUAUAUUUUUAUCAGCAUGAAUAAAUGCCCAGAACAUAGCACUAAAAGAAAAAAGCAAGUUGGAAGGACAAAUACAGUUUAAUAAUACUUUUAUGAAGUUUUAAAUAUAUGCAAAAGAGCACCAUGAAUUGAUUAUUAAUGCAAACAUAUACUAUAAAAAUAUAAUGAUAUGUAUGAGAAUGAUAGACAUUAAAUUCAGGAAACUAAUGAUCUCAGCUUGGGAGGGAGGGGAACAGGGUAAGAGUGUGGGGGCUUUAACUGUACCUAUAAUGUUUUUUGUUUUUUGUUUUUUUAAGCUGGGUGGCUAGUUCUUCGGUGUUUAUUAAAUAUAUUCUUCAUAGUUUUUGUUUUCUUAAAAAUACUUCAUAAUUUAAAACUAAAAAUGGCAUCUGCCUCACAACCCCUAACAAGGCCUUUCCCAGUUUCCCAUUAACAUAAAGAUGC
RNAcentral lists this long non-coding RNA (3106 nucleotides) under Homo sapiens (human). Its description in RNAcentral is "HSALNT0101124". Lineage: Eukaryota; Metazoa; Chordata; Mammalia; Primates; Hominidae. The record is from RNAcentral.